UUGUAAAGUACUUUCAGCAGUGAGGAAGGCGGGGUACGUUAAUAGCGUAUUCGUUUGACGUUAGCUGCAGAAGAAGCACCGGCUAACUCCGUGCCAGCAGCCGACGGUAAUACGGGAGGGUGCGAGUCGUUAAUCGGAAUUACGUGGGCGUAAAGCGCAUGCAGGUGGUUUGUUAAGUCAGAUGUGAAAGCCCCGGGGCUCAACCUCGGAAUUGCAUUUGAAACUGGCAGACUAGAGUACUGUAGAGGGGGUAGAAUUUCAGGUGUAGCGGUGAAAUGCGUAGAGAUCUGAAGGAAUACCGGUGGCGAAGGCGGCCCCCUGGACAGAUACUGACACUCAGAUGCGAAAGCGUGGGGAGCAAACAGGAUUAGAUACCCUGUAG
Molecule: ribosomal RNA, 382 nt
Filed under: uncultured bacterium
Lineage: Bacteria
Description: bacterial SSU rRNA
Rfam family: Bacterial small subunit ribosomal RNA
Source: RNAcentral